Molecule: ribosomal RNA, 521 nt
Filed under: uncultured Clostridiaceae bacterium
Lineage: Bacteria; Bacillati; Bacillota; Clostridia; Eubacteriales; Clostridiaceae
Description: bacterial SSU rRNA
Rfam family: Bacterial small subunit ribosomal RNA
Source: RNAcentral
AGAGUUUGAUCCUGGCUCAGGACGAACGCUGGCGGCGUGCCUAACACAUGCAAGUCGAGCGAAGUGUUUAAAGAAGAUCCCUUCGGGGUGAAACUUUAAAUAUCUUAGCGGCGGACGGGUGAGUAACGCGUGAGAAACCUGCCUUUCACAAAGGGAUAGCCUCGGGAAACUGGGAUUAAUACCUUAUGAUGUUUCAUCUUAGCAUUAAGAAGAAACCAAAGCGUAAAGCGGUGAAAGAUGGUCUCGCGUCCCAUUAGCUAGUUGGUGAGAUAAAAGCUCACCAAGGCGACGAUGGGUAGCCGGCCUGAGAGGGUGAACGGCCACACUGGAACUGAGACACGGUCCAGACUCCUACGGGAGGCAGCAGUGGGGAAUAUUGCACAAUGGAGGAAACUCUGAUGCAGCGACGCCGCGUGAGCGAUGAAGGCUUUCGAGUCGUAAAGCUCUGUCCUAGGGGACGAUAAUGACGGUACCCUAGGAGGAAGCCCCGGCUAACUACGUGCCAGCAGCCGCGGUAAUUC